Molecule: long non-coding RNA, 338 nt
Filed under: Panax ginseng (ginseng)
Lineage: Eukaryota; Viridiplantae; Streptophyta; Magnoliopsida; Apiales; Araliaceae
Description: long non-coding RNA (PGIN_LNC015668)
Source: RNAcentral
AUGAAUAUUGGCAUAUACGUAAAUAGUGUCAUAUACAUGAAUAGUGUCGUAUAUGUGAAUAGUAACCUCGACAUGAAAAGUUAAAAAUUUCAUAAUAAAAUUCAUACCAAUAUUUCAGUGAAAUGAUAUUGAAAGAAACAACAUCAUUUACUUAAAAAAAAAUACUAUCAACUUAUCAAAAGAAUAGUACUUCUGGCUGAAAUAUCGGAUAUAAUGCUGAAGAAAACAUGCACUGCUUAUCAACUCUCAAAGUAUCUAAAUACUCACAAAAAUACGCUCGAUAUUAUAGAGAGAGAAAACUUCUAAUUCUGGUGUGAUUUUCAAUUCUAACUAAGCAC